AGCAGUCGCCACGGGAAAACGUAGGUGGCAAGCGUUGUCCGGAAUUAUUGGGCGUAAAGCGCGCGCAGGCGGAUAGGUCAGUCUGUCUUAAAAGUUCGGGGCUUAACCCCGUGAUGGGAUGGAAACUGCCAAUCUAGAGUAUCGGAGAGGAAAGUGGAAUUCCUAGUGUAGCGGUGAAAUGCGUAGAUAUUAGGAAGAACACCAGUGGCGAAGGCGACUUUCUGGACGAAAACUGACGCUGAGGCGCGAAAGCCAGGGGAGCGAACGGGAUUAGAUACCCCAGUAGUCCCUGUCUCUUAUACC
RNAcentral lists this ribosomal RNA (303 nucleotides) under uncultured bacterium. RNAcentral's name for it is "partial 16S ribosomal RNA". It matches the Rfam family "Bacterial small subunit ribosomal RNA", at positions 507 to 808 of the family's 1533-position model. The record is from RNAcentral.